UCGCGCGGCUCGCCGAGGCGGCGGACGACCUGGGGCUCAUGCCCGCGGUUCUCACGUUCGAUCCGCAUCCGCGCGAG
This 77-nucleotide transfer RNA is filed under the name Gammaproteobacteria bacterium. Its description in RNAcentral is "tRNA-Met". Lineage: Bacteria; Pseudomonadati; Pseudomonadota; Gammaproteobacteria. The record is from RNAcentral.